UGGUGCUCCAUAGAAUUUUAUGAAGGCUGAGAAACACCUAUGCAGUUCCCCGGGCGUGUGGAUGUAGCCUUGCUAUAAUAGUGAAAGCGGUGCCACGCCGCUUAAUGGUGCGUCGAUUCCCGAGCUGCCAAUUUGCCCACCAUCUCUCAUUUCCUCUUUUUCGGUCGCCAACCCGCCUUCACCACGUCGUGCCGCUUCUUGGGUGACGAUGUAGAGGCGGCCGUGAAUGGCGCCGCUGUCGAGGUCGGCCGAAAUUUGGACGGAGCAAGCUGCUGCUGAAUGCAGCUGGGCCGGAUGCGUCGAGCGGCGGCUGCCGCAGAAGUCAGCAGGUAGCGCGGUGCCUCUUCUUUCCAAAACGAGGGCCUCCUCUCUCAGUUGGCCGUCUCGCCUGUGGUUGUCUCCAUGGCGGUACCAUCAAUCAUCAAGAUGUGCCGCUAGGGCCAGAGGCCACUUCUCUCCCUCUGCCGUGUGCGCAGCUAUCAGCUUGCUGCACCCUCCUCUCUCUCUCUCUCCCGAGACGGCUGGUGGCGUGGAGAAGGAUCUCGAACGUCUCCUUUCCUUCUCGAGGUGGCUGGCGGCGAGGUUGAGGAAUGAUGGCCCGGUGCCCUCCUCUUCUUCUUGACCUGUGCGGCCAUCCCCGUGGCCAAUUCUCUCUCAAGUGGAGGACGUGUGGGUGGUCGCCGGCAGAGCAGACGAACUGGAGUGGGGGCGGCGCUCAAGCCUCCUCCUCUCACCGACACGGGCGCCCUCCCCCCUCUCUCCCUCUCUCCCUGGCUGUCGUGGGAGCCCCUCAGAUCCUGUUGGCUCAGGACCGGAAGCGGGAAGGAGAUUCUCACUUGGUCUGUGUGGCCUAAAGCAAUUCAUCCAACGGACAACCCAUAUGCUUAGCAUGCAGUGCAUCUGAGAUUUCUUCUUGCUAGCCUGGAUAUAUUAUGGCUGCUGAGAGUGGUCUGAUGAUCUGAAUUUUUUUCGCUGUAAGAUUCCGCAAUUACAUAUUGGAGCUCACUGUAUAGUCAAACAUGGACUGAACUGGGUGUUCGAGGAACUGAACAUUCAAAAUUAACGUUCAUAAGCUUAAGGCACCAACAUUAGUGCAGCCCGGUUGACCCAUAAGUUCUUACAGUUUCAAGGUGUUUCUUUGAAGGUCUUGGCGGCAUUCUAGAUGGUGUUGCCGGCGUGGCUAGGCCUCUUCUAGGCGCAGAAGGCGAGCCGGGACCUGGUACCUGGAGGCCGCGGCAAGGGGCGCAUACAUCCUUCUGGACAUUGUCAACCGGUGGAGCAGGUCGUGGGUGAGGCCGUCAGGAGGAGCAUGCUGCAGUUGCGCUUAUUAGAUUCUCUGUCCAGGGCUUCUCCCCACCACUGGUCCUUGCUUUCCCCACCGACGGCUUCUCCAUUUGCUGUUCCGUUGAUGGCUGCUCCCGCUGUUCUAGAUAGUUGGAGAUGUUCUUGAUCUGAUGUGUUUAAUCUAAGUGUCGAGGCAUGAACACAUACCAAUGUUGGUUUUCUGAAAUAUUUAAUUUAUUUUGGCUUGACUAGCACUUGGAUUUCAAACGAGGACGGAGUUGUUUUUCUUUUGGCAUUGGUCUAAUUUUUUUGCCAUGUUUGGCUGUGACUGCAAUUGCUUUGAUGGACCAGGUAGGAUAUUGCCCUGUUAAACAAAAUUCUAGGAAUGUACGCAGCUGUUGAGAUGUGCUACCGCAUAAAAAAUAUUGUAUGUUCCAAGCUGUUGAUUUAUCAAGUUUGUUUAUCUAGCUAUGGUGUGGACUAUCUGUCGAUGAAUCUUAACUUUAACACAUACUAUUCGGUUUGCAUCAAGGAUAUAUAAUUUUCCUGAAACUGAAUUUUUUUUGUUAACUGAAACUCUUACAGUCUUACUCAUAUACAGUUUUAGUUAAAACCACGGAAGUAACUGAUCCUCAAAAAGCUGAGUGCGAAACAACACAAGUAACUAAUUGGCAAUUGUUUUGUUUAUACAUAGGUCGGUGCUCUUACUUGGGCAGUACCACCUACUGGCAGUAGAUUAGUAAUGGAUGGAUACACAUGCACAGGUCACCCGCUAUCUCAGGUAUUUUCUCCAAAUCCAUUCAUGAAAAUGGGUGUUAGGUAUCUGCAUGUUAUGUACAUUUCUGACUAUGUGAGCAAACUGUCCCCAGCUACUUCUGUUGGCUCGAACCGUUUGUCCAGCUGCUACUUCUGCCCGUUGUCGAGCCAUUUUCUCUUGACGAGAGCAUGCUGGUUUAGCCUGUGAUUUUUCUGUUGACAUGGACGCUUGGAGGCUUGCAAUUCAUCUUGGCUUAUUGGAUUUCUUUGGUCUUUCUUAAAGGUGAUCGGUCUUAGUAAUUCUACUGAUUAAUCUUCGGAUCUGCAGGCUGGCUCUGUUUAUUGUCCUUUUUCAGGCUGCUCUUCUUCAGGUUCAGGUCCUACAUCAGACAAUGGGUGUUGUCAUGUUCUCUUUCUUGAUGCACUCGUGGUUCAGAUUUGAAUAUGGGGUACACAUAUAAAUAUGUAUGUUCUUGGAAGGGACUCUAUGCUAUUGAUACUAUACUGCUUAUCAACUUGAUCUCACACUACGCCCUCAAUGUUUGAGUUGAAAGGUCAAUUAUCAAGUGGCAUACAAGACCUACUGUGAGGGCGAGAUUCAGCACAGAAAAAGAAGUACAGGACCAAUACAGUUUUCGAUCCAACAGUGUUUAGCCUUCCCUUAAGUUUGUAGUUCUUGCUUUGGAUAUUGGGUUACUAUCGAAGAAAUCUUCUGCUAUUUUGAAUAAAUCGGCAUGCACUUUCUUUUUCUGAAAUCUCUAUGUGUCAUCAGUAAAUAGGGUGAAGGUCAUAAUGCAUAUUGCUUGGGUAAACAAGAAUUGGAUUGGUGGAACAAAUAUUACCUAUGAACACUGUUUGAAAAGAUGGGAUUGCAUAACAAGAAAAUGUGUAGACAACUUAUCAUGUCUUUUUAUCGCUUUCAUAUAUAUGACAUUUUUUUUCCAGAUAACCGUCUUUGUCUUAUCCACUUAAAUUGGCAGGGUAAUCUGCGUUCUUGCUUUGAAGGGCGGGCCUGGUGCAGCGGUAGAGCCUCACCGCCUGUGACCGAGAGGUCCCAGGUUCGAGUCGCGGUCUCCUCACAUUGCACUUCGUGAGGGUAAGGCUUGCCACUAACACCUUCCCCAGACCCCGCACAGUGCGGGAGCUCUCAGCACUGGGUACGUCCUUUUAAUGUGCGUUCUUGCUUUGUAUCCCUAGAUUGACUCUUCAACCUUAGCCAUUUUUUGAAACUCCAAAAGGAGACUCCCGUGCGCCAAUUUUAUUUUUCAUAUACAAUUCAUGGUAAUUUAGAGGAUGAGAUGCAUGUUUCUGAUACGUGUAAUCAGAUAGAUUAAUUGUUACCAAAUUAGGUUGUUUGAUGCCUGAAAACCAAUUUCUGUAUUCUGUAGCACGUAGUGGUGUAGGACUAUUUGCCAGACAUUAUUGCUGGUUCUUUUUUUAUUGGAUCAGGCAUGGAAGUUAAAUUGCAUUUUUUUUAAUCUGUAAAAUUGUUUGUUCUUUUUUUAGUAUCCAAUAUGUCACAGACCGCUCGAUAGAUAGAUGGGCUCUCACGAAUUCAUAGGUUACAAUCCCCAGCAUCUUGUCGGGAGGAUCGAAUCCAGAUGAACUCACGAGUUCAUCGGAAGGGGGAGAAAGAGAAGUCUCAACCACUCGGGUUGUUUACAGGAGAAUAGUUCUGACUGCUUUCCCCAUCCUCGCUUUGCUGUCUUCAUGGUGCGGCAUUUUUAUCACGAGAAAUUUCUGGACCCUUAUGAUGUGUGCUCACAUGAACUUCGUGUUCUCUUCUUUUACCUCUGCCAUUGAAUUGUUCGCUUAUUACAUUCCUUUAUUAAAAAUUAGAAUGCUCAUAUAGUGCAUUAUGUUUGCCUUGAGCAAGUAGCAUGACAGCCGUUUGUGGAAUUAAACUUGGUGCCUUGCUUUCUGUACCUUUUUGUUUAAUGGAUGAACUACUAAUUUCUUAUUUGCUUUAUAUGUUCCAAAUGCGGACAUUAAGAGAAUUUUCAUAUAUAUGCUUAAUUGCAGAAUUUCUUCGCACUUGUGUAUUCUGAUGCUUUCGGUUUAGAAGAAACUUAUAUAUUUCAGUACCGACCUUGAUCCAUUUAUUUUGUUAAGCGCUGCCACCAACUACUCAAACACGAAGUACCAAAAAUAUUCUCUUAUUUUCUUGGUCAAAGGAAGUUCCAGAAUUGCCUUUUUAGACUAUAUAUGUAGGUAAUUGGUUCGAUCUUGUUUCAUUUUUUGCUAGGUUUCAUUGGUUUAUCAUUGAAUGAUAACUGGUAGGAGAUCAAGGUAUGGAAGAAGACUCUUGAAUUUGUGGGAUAACAUAAGUGAGGGACCUGUUCAAAUAACAGAGGAAACUGUAGCGUACAAAAUUCACUAUGAACUGCAUUUAUCCGCAGGAUCAUUCACACACUAUUUUACCUAUCCUGUGUGACCCUUCAAUCCUGAAAAAUUAUUUGUCCUGAACUCCACCUUGGCGUCUGGCCGUCGCAACCACCUAAUUCCAUCUCCAUCAAAGUAAAGCUAGCUCAACCACAGCAAAUAGAAGUAUAUGUGUCGCUGAAAUGACCAAAGUAAUUGUUCCCGAGACAUGCUAUAAUAUGGAGUACCUCCAUAUCCAUGAUAUUGAGAAAUGCAAUUGACUUGAAAAGGUUGCUGAACUUUUGAAGGACAUCCAAGCGGGUUUGCUUAAGAGUGUUUCCGCAGUAUGUUUCACUUCCUUCAUUACCUUGGUAGUCAAAAUGUCUUCUAAUGGUAAAAUAGGAAACCAAUACUGAUAAUUAAUUUGUAGAUGCAAUGAUGUUUCACCAUUCGGUUUUACAAAGUUGAACCUAUAAAAAAAACUAGAGUGAUGAUACAUAAAAGGGAUAUUGACGAGCUCCACCUGAAGUGCUCGCGGAUAGAGUCUGAAUAUUUAGAAAGUCAGCUUUUCUUUUAUUUUGCCAUAGUAUCUUGCCGAAGUUGAUCACGUGCACAUUAGAUAUUACCAACAAUAGUCCACCAUAGAUGAGGCAAGUGCGCAACUAUGGGUUUCACUGCUUUGUUUGUAAACUUUACAGACUGUUCAUAUAUGGCAAGAUAGUAAGGAUGGAAGCUAUAGCUUCAGGCACACGAUGGAAGAUCAUGGCGGAGAGUUUGAUAAUUUUCUUUUUUGCAUUCAUACAUUUAGAACGCACAAAACUUAUUACUUCUUUGUCAACAUUAUUAUGAUGGGGGAUAAAAUAGCAUCUAAUCUAGAGCAGACGGUCCAGGAAGUGCCAGAGCUUGGAGAGAAUAUAUGGAUGCUAUCCUAUAUAACGAGUAUAUGACGAUUGAAAACAAAUAAUUAGCCACAUCUGUAUCAAGUCGUUAGCCAAUGGUAGCCCAUUCUGUAAUAUAACUUGAUGGUCUCUGGGUUUUUUUCUCAGAAGAAUUGUGAGCCUGUUUCUUCUUAUGUUGUUAAUAGUGAGAUGGUAUUCGAUCCUUAAUUUGUUUGGGUUAUAGAGCCAUUGCCAUCACACGGGUCAUUGAUGCCACUGAUCGGGCGAGAACUUAGAAGCUUACCACGGCAACUAAGUGCCGGCUUCACCGACGGUUACAAAUGUUGAGCAUCUGACGAAGGAAACAUUAGUCCUCAUAGUUAUUGCGAUGGCGGUUAUGGCCGCCCCAGGGUAACAUGUCAUUCAUUCGUUUGAUAGCUGGCUCCAAAGGAUGCAUACACUGUGAUACGGGGCGACCUUCGGUCUUCACCGCAUCAUGUGCUUCAUCGCCAAGACGGCACGCUAAGGUGAAUCUUCUCCUUUACGCGUGCCUCGAAUCGCCUAUUUGGGACGAUAUACUACUUCAUACCCCGUCAUAUCUUGAUGAUAGGAACUCGACGACAAGUACGGGGAGAAGAGAGGAUGCCAUGGAGACCCGAGGAUGCAAGACCGAUGUCACGGAAGCAUGGAAGA
Non-coding RNA from Lolium perenne, 5972 nucleotides. NCBI's taxonomy places the organism in Eukaryota, Viridiplantae, Streptophyta, Magnoliopsida, Poales, Poaceae. The record is from RefSeq and is a predicted model, not a curated record.